RNAcentral lists this non-coding RNA (98 nucleotides) under Enterococcus pallens. Its description in RNAcentral is "THF-I sequence". It matches the Rfam family "THF (Tetrahydrofolate) riboswitch aptamer". From Rfam's summary of the family: THF riboswitch presents a pseudoknot that joins P1-P2 and the loop of P3 and two THF binding. Lineage: Bacteria; Bacillati; Bacillota; Bacilli; Lactobacillales; Enterococcaceae. RNAcentral also lists the same sequence under 1 other name. The record is from RNAcentral.
AUCAGAGUAGAGAAUAAAGCGUUAAGUGCCGGGAGGAUGGGAUGUUGCCUGCUGGACGAAAGACUUCGGUCUGCGGUUUUAUUUUCGCAUUCGCUGCA